Molecule: ribosomal RNA, 466 nt
Filed under: uncultured bacterium
Lineage: Bacteria
Description: partial 16S ribosomal RNA
Rfam family: Bacterial small subunit ribosomal RNA
Source: RNAcentral
GAUGAACGCUGGCGGCGUGCCUAACACAUGCAAGUCGAGCGAACCCUUCGGGGUGAGCGGCGGACGGGUGAGUAACGCGUGGGUAACCUGCCCUAUACACACGGAUAACGUACCGAAAGGUACGCUAAUACGGGAUAAAGUUGUUGGAUGGCAUCUUCUAACAAUCAAAGCUCCGGCGGUAUAGGAUGGACCCGCGUCUGAUUAGCUAGUUGGUGAGGUAAUGGCUCACCAAGGCAACGAUCAGUAGCCGACCUGAGAGGGUGAUCGGCCACACUGGAACUGAGACACGGUCCAGACUCCUACGGGAGGCAGCAGUGGGGAAUAUUGCACAAUGGGCGAAAGCCUGAUGCAGCAACGCCGCGUGAGCGAUGAAGGUCUUCGGAACGUAAAGCUCUGUCCUCAAGGAAGAUAAUGACGGUACUUGAGGAGGAAGCCCCGGCUAACUACGUGCCAGCCGCCGCGGUAA